GGCAUUUAAAUUUUGGGUGUAAGCGAGGGAGAGGCUAAAUAGCUUUUUUCUUUAAAAGCCUAGUAAUAGGUAACUUUAGGAGGGGCUUGCGCCAUUUUAGUUAGUUGGUAGGGUAAUGGCCUACCAAGACGAUGAUGUGUAGCUGGACUGAGAGGUUGAACAGCCACAUUGGGACUGAGACACGGCCCAAACUCCUACGGGAGGCAGCAGUAGGGAAUUUUCGGCAAUGGAGGAAACUCUGACCGAGCAACGCCGCGUGAACGACGAAGUACUUUGGUAUGUAAAGUUCUUUUAUCAAGGAAGAAAAGCAAGUGGUGAACCAUUUGUUUGCCGGUACUUGAUGAAUAAGCCCCGGCUAAUUAUGUGCCAGCAGCCGCGGUAAGACAUAAGGGGCAAGUGUUAUCCGGAAUUAUUGGGCGUAAAGGGUGCGUAGGCGGUCUAGUAAGUCAGUGGUGUAAUGGCAACGCUCAACGUUGUCCGGCUAUUGAAACUGCUAAACUUGAGUUAGAUAGAGGCGAGUGGAAUUCCAUGUGUAGCGGUAAAAUGCGUAAAUAUAUGGAGGAACACCAGAGGCGUAGGCGGCUCGCUGGGUCUUAACUGACGCUGAGGCACGAAAGCGUGGGGAGCAAACAGGAUUAGAUACCCUGGUAGUCCACGCCGUAAACGAUGAGUACUAAGUGUCGGGUUAAACCGGUACUGAAGUUAACACAUUAAGUACUCCGCCUGAGUAGUACGUACGCAAGUAUGAAACUUAAAGGAAUUGACGGGACUCCGCACAAGCGGUGGAUCAUGUUGUUUAAUUCGAAGAUACCCGAAAAACCUUACCAGGUCUUGACAUGUUUUUGCGAAACGGUAGUAAUAUCGUGGAGGUUAUCAGAAACACAGGUGGUGCAUGGUUGUCGUCAGCUCGUGUCGUGAGAUGUUAGGUUAAGUCCUAAAACGAGCGAAACCCUUAUCGUUAGUUGCCAGCACGUUAUGGUGGGGACUUUAACGAGACUGCCAGUGAUAAAUUGGAGGAAGGUGAGGAUCACGUCAAAUCAGCAUGCCCCUUAUGACCUGGGCUACAAACGUGAUACAAUGGCUGUUACAAAGGGUAGCUGAAACGCAAGUUCUUGGCCAAUCCCCAAAAACAGUCUCAGUCCGGAUUGAAGUCUGCAACUCGACUUCAUGAAGUUGGAAUCGCUAGUAAUCGCGAAUCUGCAGUCGCGGAAACUCGUGCUUU
RNAcentral lists this small RNA (1222 nucleotides) under Candidatus Phytoplasma citri. RNAcentral's name for it is "bacterial SSU rRNA". It matches the Rfam family "Bacterial small subunit ribosomal RNA", at positions 153 to 1376 of the family's 1533-position model. The record is from RNAcentral. Lineage: Bacteria; Bacillati; Mycoplasmatota; Mollicutes; Acholeplasmatales; Acholeplasmataceae.